AAUAUAAAGAAUGAAACUUAAGUUAAAAGAAAAAAACUAUAUCCCUCUUUCUUUUGAAUCAAAUACAAGAAAUGUGUGCAAGCAAAAUGCAUGCCACUAAUUAGAGCCAAAAUUGAUACCAACUAAAGUUAUGAAAAGGGCUAUUAAAAAAAAAAAAAAAUAAUAAUAUUAAGAGUUAAUAAGAAAGUAAGAUAAAUGCAACGUAACUCAAAUACCAAUAUAAUACCUAUAACAAAAAAAAAAAAAAUAACCAAUGCUAAUUACCAGGAUAUCUCUGCAACAUGUUUGGAUUUGAUCUUGGAAGAAUCUUAUUCAAGAAAUCGUUGUAAGAAAGCAUAAAGCCUUGUGUCUUAUCUUCAAUCAGUGAUAGGAAGAACUUAUUUUCCAAAGGAUCGCCUUGUCUGAUUGUAUAAAGCUUCAUAAAUGGCGGUUUUCUUUGUUCACGAAUAUUAUUGAUUAAAAUAGCAACUUUGACUCCAAGCUUUUCACCAGUUGAUCCAAUAACAGUUUCAGCAUAAUCUGGAUGUAGCUGAUCAAGAGUUGCAACGCCAAACACCUGUUGAAUAAAGGUUGUUGGAAUCGCUCUUCCAAGCCAUAAAUACAUGGAUUCACCAUCUUCUAAGAGAUAUGCAUCUGCCUGUGUCAUUUUUUCUGCUGUUAAAUUUAAGGCAGGAGGAAGCACUAAUGAUUGAUCAGUUUCUUGUUGUUGAAGAUUCCAUGAAGAAAGACAAAACAUUCUUGGAUAAAAUAGUAUCAUUUGAGAUUCUAAUCUCAAACUAGAUAAGCGUAUCCAAUGAUAAAUUCUAGUAUCUGAUUGAGAAACUUCCUUAUAAUCUCUAAAAGCUGGACAUUUGAGUACACCAAGAAUAUAGAGUGGAAGUUGCUUUGCAGCUUCAAUUAUUUGAUUGGAUUGAGGUAAAAUGAUUUGGGAACAUAUAGUCUGAAGAUAAUUUCGUCCAUCUAAUAACUUGCUUUUAAGGCUUAGUUCCAUUGCAUUUUGGCAAAUUAUUGAAACUGUUGCUUGAACAUCCAUGCUUGAUACUAAAUCAACAUAAUUUUGAGUUACUGGUAAAGCCAUUGUGUGAACUCUAAUACGUCUUUCACCAUCACUAUUUGUAUGUAAAAGAGCUGCUUGAAUAUAAACAAAUGGAUCAGGUGCUACUGUUACAUUUUCAUCCAUAUCUAUAACAAUACUAAAAGCUUGGUCUCUAUGACAAUUUGGAGCAAGAAGAAGAUCAACCCCACUAAAGUAGAAAUUACCAUACCAAUUUGAUAUCUUCCAACCACGACUAACUCUGAAUCUAAUACAAGCCUCCCAAGCUGAGUUUCUAGUUAAAGUUGAAAAUAUAUCUUCUCUAAGUUUUUGUCCGUGAAGAUACGAAUUAAAUCCAAAAAUAUAUGUAAGAUCACCACUCGUUUUUUUGACAAUUGGAGAAAUUGUAGGUAAAUCUACAUACGGUUGAGAAGUACACAUAAACAAAUCAACACUAAUAUAUGCUCUAACAAGUGCAUGAACAAAAUUACUAUAUCCAUCAUUUUCUGGUUUUAAUAAUUCAACUUCUCUAUCAAUAUCUUUGGAUUCUUUUCCAGAAUUUCUCAUCUGCUCACGAUUAAGUUUUAUUGUUUGAUCUCCAACUGUUGGUGCUCCUGAUGAAAAUAAAAGAACUUUUCCACCAAUAUGUCUAAUUGCCAUAUAAGCAGCUUUAAUUGCUGAUCCCAUACAAUUUUCCGAAACUCUAUUAUUUCUCCAUAAAUUUGGUAAGUUAUCUAACAAAUUCGUAAUUUGCUGCAAUAACAAUAACAAUAAUAAUUAAAUAUAUGAUAAAGUCAAUCAAUUAUUUAACUUACCUCAGUAGAAUCUGCUAUAUUAACCAAAACACCUUCAGAAAGUGGUAGGAAUAAAUCAUUCAAAUCAGAUACAACAAACAUAUGUGGUUGUGAAAGAUUACUAUUUAAAUCAUAAAAAUGAAUGGAUGAAUCAAAUGUAAUAAUACCAAUCAUAGCUCUACCUCCACCUGGAAUAUUAUCAGAUAAUAUAGCAUUUUUUACUGCUAAACAAACUGUCUCAACAAGUCCUGAAGAUACUGAUGGCAUUGAAACAUCCAAAACUAUAAAAUAUACUGGAGGUUGUGGAGGUCUUACCAUAUAUUCUCCAGAUGCAAUAAAUUCAGUACUACCAACAGAUAGUUCAGGACGUUCAAAUCGAUCAGUUCUGCGUCCCUGAUCAUCCAAUCCGCAAUAAUAAAAUGAAAGGGUUUCAUUAGAAUAGCCGCACAUAUUGCAUAUCCAACGACGACCACCAGCUUCCCAUCUAACAAAUGGAUUAAUAUAAGUUCUACAAGGCUUACAUCUAACUAAUACACCACUUGACCCAAAAGAAACUGUUGGUACUUCAGGAUAUCCAGGAGGCGGACUUGCUAAAGGUUGAAAAACAAGUCCAACAGGAAUAUGGGCUUUCUGUUUAAGACUUGCUGAACUUGGGACUUUUGAGACGGAUGGUCUUACAAAAUAUGAUGGAGCAUUAAGUUGUUGUAUUUCACUCAUUGAUAGUCCUCCUAUUGUUGUAUUAUUUCCAAUAUCUUUUGAGAUAGGAUUCGAAUUAUAAAAACCAGUUUGAGUUUGGUUUUGACCUUGAACUUGUUGUCCCAUUCCUGUUGGAAUCACCAUACCUGGUCUAACUCUAUUCUGACCUUGCAUAGUAUUAUCAUUACUUGAACCAUAAUAUCCUCCACUUUGUGAAUAACCUUGAUUUUGUCCUAUAGUUUGGCUUUGAGCCUGAUAUUGACCCUGCAUUCCAAAUGGACUAGUUUUUGGUGCUGCCUCUGCCACUCCUUGAAAAGGAGAUGACAUUACUGUACCUGGGCGUUGUUGGGGAAUCUGAGUCUGUUGUGAGUAUUGCAUUGCCCCCCCGCCAACUGAAUUUCCAAAUGGAUGUCCCGACAUUAAAAUAAAGAGUAUACACCAAUUAGUUUGAGAUUUCCAGUCAAUAAGUGAAUUAGUGGUAGAUAUAAAUUAC
RNAcentral lists this non-coding RNA (3016 nucleotides) under Cryptosporidium parvum. The record is from RNAcentral. Lineage: Eukaryota; Apicomplexa; Conoidasida; Eucoccidiorida; Cryptosporidiidae.